This is a non-coding RNA of Anas platyrhynchos (mallard), 2729 nucleotides long. The record is from RefSeq and is a predicted model, not a curated record. NCBI's taxonomy places the organism in Eukaryota, Metazoa, Chordata, Aves, Anseriformes, Anatidae.
UACAUCAGGAAGUCAGAACAGGCUGCAGAGUGCUUUCAGUCCUUAAAAUAAAGACAGAUUCAUUACGGGUGACUCCUGUUUUCCCACUAGUUCACAAAUAUUUUGUUUAGUUACACAAAUUCCCUGCAAGUGACGGGCGUGCUGGCAGGUCAGGGGACCUGCUGUUGGGUUAUAUCAUUGUUAUGAGAGUCACGCUGCUAAGGAGCUUUGAGUUGUACCCCAUACUGAGAAUAGUCCAAAUAAUCUGUGACUCAAAGCAUCUCUCAUCAGGGAUCACUGUGAACACAGGCAAUUUCAGCUGACCCGACCAGCUAAACACAAACAUGUCAAGACCUCAAUAGCACCAGAACAUUUGUUUUAAAUAUCCUGAGUGUGAAAUCAGGGCCAAUGGGCAACAUCUAUUCAGUAAUCAUUUUGCAUGCCAGAUGUUUCUUUCUCUAAUUUUACUGCAGAGCAUAUAAAAAUAUGUGCUGGAAUUAAAAUGACGAUUGGGAAGAACACAAUAGCCAACCUCUGGUUUAUUGCAGCAGCGUAAACUGGAGUAAUUUCCAGGAAGAGAGACAUUACACCAGAUCCACAUGGGUGUGAGUUAUGAAUCCAACUAAUUCUCUCAGGGGACCUAUGUGUCUCGUGCAAACAAAUAACAUGAUUUAUGAGCCCUUUAAGUUUUGAGAGUGGUAGGGCAGGAGAGAGAGCUUAGCCAAGAGUGUCUUCCAGAGGAAAAAGCAAAGUGCACCUCAGUAGCUGAGGUAUUGAGGCUAACCACAAUCCUUACCAAGGUGUCACAGGCCCAGAGCAAUCUGCAGUCUGCAGCAGACACCCACAGUUGUAAAACAGUAGCCAGUAUGAGGCAUGGGGAUACAAAAAGUAGACCUGUUUGGGGCCUCUGCAAGGCUUUUAAUCCAUAUGCCCUCCGCAGCUAUACUGAUGCUGUACUAUGGGAAUUUGUUCUUUACUAUAAAACACUUUUUCAUCAAGAAAAUUCUCCCUCUCUCUUUCUCUUUAUUUAAUCAUCUAUUGGCAAGAAUUUUCAGAUGUGUGAUGAACACUCAAAGCCUGAGUCAAAGAUUAGAAAAGUUUGAUCUUUCUGGUAAAGAAGGAGGAAUUGCAUCUUUCCUGAGACAAAGAGCCCACCUAUAUGGAGAAGCCACCAUAGGAAGCUCUGUUGUUUUGGACAUGGAAAGAAAAAACAGCCUGCAGUACCUGAGUCAGCAAGACUUAGCAGAGACAAGGAUUGGAAACUUGCAAAAAUUUUUGAGAUUUUAGCCGAGAAUUUCUGUGCAAAUUUCUUCUUGGGUUUUAAUUUCCGAGACUUUCAUUCUGAAGUGCUGUGUACCUGGCUUCCAGGCAAAACAAAUAAAGCCAAAGAGCUGACCAGAACUAUACCCUGAAAAUAAUCUGUUCAUGAAAGCUGUCCUGGACUAUUGAAUUCAGCAAGCUCUGUGAUAGUAAUUGUAAGAUUUCACAGUUAUACUAAAAACAGCUGAAAACCCUUCAGUUAUGUGUUGAUAGCCAACAAAAGCUCUUUGAUGUAAACCACUGGAUUAAAACUGUUUGCCCUCACUAUUUUGUGUUGUGAAUCCCAAGCACAAAUACAGGCUGGGUGGAGAAUGGAUUGAAGGCAGUGCUGAGGAGAAGGACCUGGGGGUGUUGGUCAACGAGAAGCUCAACAUGAGCCAGCAAUGUGCACUUGCAGCCCAGAAAGCCAACCAUGUCCUGGGCUGCAUCAAAAGCAGCGCGGCAGGAUGAGGGAGGGGAUUGUCCCCCUCUGUUCUACUUAUAUUGCAUUUUUUUUCUACAUCAUCAUGCCCUCACCGAGUCCUUUUACAAUUCUAUCAUUAUAUUCAUUUACGCAGGUGAUGCAGAGCACAGUGCAAAGUUCACGUAGCUGUCAAAAUCCUGACUCUGGUAUUUACUGACUUUCAUGCUUCUUCUAGACAAUGCUACAAUUACCUUAAUGUCAUUUUUGUCACUUAAUACUGUUGCUAACCCUCAUAAUUGUUAAGGGACUGCACAGUGCAAUUUAGCAUAAUUAAGACAAUUAUAGUUAAGCACCAUGCACCAACAGUUGGUAGCCAAAGCUUUUGCCCAGUGUAAGGAAAACCAAAGGCUCCAUCUACUGCAGUACAGUCCUCAGGCACCCCCAAGAUUUUGGUUGGAGGUUAUCAGAAAGGUGCUCAUGGGGAAGACUCCUGCUUUGUCAGGGUACAGCAGAUCUUCUUUUUGCCAAGUGGAUGCUGUUGUUGAAGGAAGAGCAGGAAUUGAGCCUAUUUCCAUCACCCCAUUGGUAAGCACUUGAGAACUUGACCUCCAAGGCUGUUAUCUGAACCGGGCUUGAGAUUUCACCAAUGGAAUAUACUUAACACUUUUCCUCCACAUUUUACAUCCAUCUGAAAUGUAUUUAGCUAACUUUAGAGGUACCUUGCAUGUAAAACCUUGAACCACAAUUGUAAACUCUCCAGUUUCCCUUAUUCAUACAAUAUUUGAUUUGGAUGACAUGUUUUUUACAAUAUUUAUUUUCUGGCCCAUUUUGAGACUCUUAUGUUAAUGCCACAAGAACUUCAGUCUCCUGUAUAAUAUUUCAGACAUGGAGAAAAAAAAAAUGAAGUGAAAAAAAAAAAAAAAAAAGGAAAAACCAACCGUCUGCAUCCACUUAAACUACAUUACAAUAAAGCUCAGUAAAGAUCUGAUCAGCAGGUUUUUUUAGCCUGCUCCGAUUUAAUAUGAAA